UACGUAGGGUGCGAGCGUUAAUCGGAAUUACUGGGCGUAAAGUGUGCGCAGGUGGCUUCGCAAGUCGAGUGUGAAAGCCCCGGGCUUAACCUGGGAAUUGCGCUCGAAACUACGGAGCUCGAGUGUGGCAGAGGAAGGUGGAAUUCCACGUGUAGCGGUGAAAUGCGUAGAGAUGUGGAGGAACACCAAUGGCGAAGGCAGCCUUCUGGGCCAACACUGACACUCAUGCACGAAAGCGUGGGGAGCAAACAGG
Molecule: ribosomal RNA, 253 nt
Filed under: uncultured bacterium
Lineage: Bacteria
Description: partial 16S ribosomal RNA
Rfam family: Bacterial small subunit ribosomal RNA
Source: RNAcentral